UCUGGUGAUAAACUUGAUGGUCAUUGUUA
This 29-nucleotide non-coding RNA is filed under the name Homo sapiens (human). The record is from RNAcentral. Lineage: Eukaryota; Metazoa; Chordata; Mammalia; Primates; Hominidae.